UUUUAUUUGGUAUGUGUUACCAU
This 23-nucleotide small nuclear RNA is filed under the name Arabidopsis thaliana (thale cress). RNAcentral describes it as "snRNA_04054". Lineage: Eukaryota; Viridiplantae; Streptophyta; Magnoliopsida; Brassicales; Brassicaceae. The record is from RNAcentral.